Molecule: ribosomal RNA, 301 nt
Filed under: uncultured bacterium
Lineage: Bacteria
Description: partial 16S ribosomal RNA
Rfam family: Bacterial small subunit ribosomal RNA
Source: RNAcentral
CAGUCGCCGCGGUAAAACGUAGGGCGCAAGCGUUAUCCGGAAUUAUUGGGCGUAAAGAGCUCGUAGGCGGUUUGUCGCGUCUGCCGUGAAAGUCCGGGGCUCAACCCCGGAUCUGCGGUGGGUACGGGCAGACUAGAGUGAUGUAGGGGAGACUGGAAUUCCUGGUGUAGCGGUGAAAUGCGCAGAUAUCAGGAGGAACACCGAUGGCGAAGGCAGGUCUCUGGGCAUUAACUGACGCUGAGGAGCGAAAGCAUGGAGAGCGAACAGGAUUAGAUACCCCCGUAGUCCCUGUCUCUUAUAC